AGGGAUGAUAGAGAAAAUGUUGGAGUGAGAGAGAUGAUAAAGAAAAUGUUGGAGUGAGAGAGAUGAAAGAUAAAUGGUUAAGAGGAAUGAGGGAGGUGAGUAAGGGUUUGGGUUUUUUUUUUUUUUUUAGUUUUGAGAAUGAAAAUUAUUUAAAUAUCCUUGACCUUAAAACUUAGAAUCUAUGAUAAAUGAGGGUAUUUUUGUCUACUAUAAUCCGGUACACAUUGUUAAAACGUACCAACUGAAAAACAGG
RNAcentral lists this long non-coding RNA (253 nucleotides) under Vigna radiata. RNAcentral describes it as "long non-coding RNA (VRAD_LNC003769)". Lineage: Eukaryota; Viridiplantae; Streptophyta; Magnoliopsida; Fabales; Fabaceae. The record is from RNAcentral.